CCCAGACUCCUACGGGAGGCAGCAGUGGGGGAUAUUGCACAAUGGGGGGAACCCUGAUGCAGCGACGCCGCGUGGGUGAAGGAGCGUUUCGGCGCGUAAAGCCCUAUCGGCAGGGAAGAAGGAGGACGGUACCUGACUAAGAAGCCCCGGCUAACUACGUGCCAGCAGCCGCGGUAAUACGUAGGGGGCAAGCGUUAUCCGGAUUUACUGGGUGUAAAGGGGGCGCAGACGGCAGCGCAAGCCAGGAGUGAAAGCCCGGGGCCCAACCCCGGGACUGCUCUUGGAACUGCGCGGCUGGAGUGCAGGAGGGGCAGGCGGAAUUCCUGGUGUAGCGGUGAAAUGCGUAGAUAUCAGGAGGAACACCGGUGGCGAAGGCGGCCUGCUGGACUGCGACUGACGUUGAGGCCCGAAAGCGUGGGGAGCAAACAGGAUUAGAUACCCGUGUAAA
RNAcentral lists this ribosomal RNA (448 nucleotides) under uncultured bacterium. RNAcentral's name for it is "bacterial SSU rRNA". It matches the Rfam family "Bacterial small subunit ribosomal RNA", at positions 330 to 793 of the family's 1533-position model. The record is from RNAcentral.